GAGGCCUUAGCUUAAUUAAAGUGUCUGAGUUGCAGUCAGGAGAUGUAGAGAUGAAUUUACAGGUCUU
RNAcentral lists this transfer RNA (67 nucleotides) under Agamura persica. RNAcentral describes it as "tRNA-Ala". The record is from RNAcentral. Lineage: Eukaryota; Metazoa; Chordata; Lepidosauria; Squamata; Gekkonidae.